RNAcentral lists this ribosomal RNA (465 nucleotides) under uncultured bacterium. RNAcentral's name for it is "partial 16S ribosomal RNA". It matches the Rfam family "Bacterial small subunit ribosomal RNA", at positions 28 to 507 of the family's 1533-position model. The record is from RNAcentral.
GACGAACGCUGGCGGCGUGCUUAACACAUGCAAGUCGAACGGAAAGGCCCUGCUUGCAGGGUACUCGAGUGGCGAACGGGUGAGUAACACGUGGGUGAUCUGCCCUGCACUUCGGGAUAAGCCUAGGAAACUGGGUCUAAUACCGGAUAGGAGCCAUUUUUAGUGUGAUGGUUGGAAAGUUUUUUCGGUGUAGGAUGAGCUCGCGGCCUAUCAGCUUGUUGGUGGGGUAAUGGCCUACCAAGGCGGCGACGGGUAGCCGGCCUGAGAGGGUGGACGGCCACAUUGGGACUGAGAUUCGGCCCAGACUCCUACGGGAGGCAGCAGUGGGGAAUAUUGCACAAUGGGCGCAAGCCUGAUGCAGCGACGCCGCGUGGGGGAUGACGGCCUUCGGGUUGUAAACUCCUUUCGCUAGGGACGAAGCUUUUUGUGACGGUACCUAGAUAAGAAGCACCGGCUAACUACGUG